RNAcentral lists this ribosomal RNA (490 nucleotides) under uncultured bacterium. Its description in RNAcentral is "partial 16S ribosomal RNA". It matches the Rfam family "Bacterial small subunit ribosomal RNA", at positions 30 to 507 of the family's 1533-position model. The record is from RNAcentral.
AUUGAACGCUGGCGGCAGGCCUAACACAUGCAAGUCGAACGGUAACAGGAAGCAGCUUGCUGCUUUGCUGACGAGUGGCGGACGGGUGAGUAAUGUCUGGGAAACUGCCUGAUGGAGGGGGAUAACUACUGGAAACGGUAGCUAAUACCGCAUAACGUCGCAAGACCAAAGAGGGGGACCUUCGGGCCUCUUGCCAUCGGAUGUGCCCAGAUGGGAUUAGCUAGUAGGUGGGGUAACGGCUCACCUAGGCGACGAUCCCUAGCUGGUCUGAGAGGAUGGCCAGCCACACUGGAACUGAGACACGGUCCAGACUCCUACGGGAGGCAGCAGUGGGGAAUAUUGCACAAUGGGCGCAAGCCUGAUGCAGCCAUGCCGCGUGUAUGAAGAAGGCCUUCGGGUUGUAAAGUACUUUCAGCGGGGAGGAAGGGAGUAAAGUUAAUACCUUUGCUCAUUGACGUUACCCGCAGAAGAAGCACCGGCUAACUCCGUG